This is a non-coding RNA of Phalacrocorax carbo (great cormorant), 1179 nucleotides long. Lineage: Eukaryota; Metazoa; Chordata; Aves; Suliformes; Phalacrocoracidae. The record is from RefSeq and is a predicted model, not a curated record.
CGUGCGGAGCGCCUGCGUCAGCGCGCACGGCGCCGCCGGCCCGCCCGUCCUCCCGCGCGCCAGGGCCCAGCCCGGCCCGGCCCGAAGCGGAACCUUCGCGGCCGCCGUCGACCCUGCCCAGCAGUCUGAGACAGAGAGUCCUGGUCCAGAGCUUACAGAAAAAUCUGCAGUUCUUCAGGCACAGAGCUGUGCGGUGGCCUGGCUCCUGCAGAAGUCACCCUGGCUCCUUGCUGAUCUGUCCUCGGCAUCGAAGAAUCUCUAAAACUGGGUGAUCAGUGACAGCAGUGAACUGCUUACAAAGUUGUUCCAGGAGGCGGAGGAUGGGAUGCCUCAUGGGAGGCCCCGUGCUGAUCAUGACGAUGACUCGUGUGUCCACUGGAAACAGAGCCAAAGAACACCGGGCAGACGAAGCUUUCCACUGGGGCAAAAGCCAUUUUCAUCCACCUCUGUACUUCUUUGAGGAAGUCUCUCCAGAACAUCAGUUCCGUAGACAUGUUUCAUGGCCUUAAGCUGCUCCAGAGUUCUUUGUGCAGUGUUUCAGAUACCAAGCUCUGUUCAGUAAGGCAGUAAUAGGCAGUCAGAAGGGAGAAUGCUAAAAUGUUAUGUCACCAUUACUAAGAGGGGCCUACCUUAAAUAGCAGUAAGUGAAUCAGCAUAUGGUAAAGCUAUGACUGCUCACACUCUUCCAUCCUCAGAGACAUUUGAACCAGCUGAAAACACAGCGAGACGGCUGCAGCAGCCAUGAUACGAAGCUGGUUCUAUAGGAACCUGAGGUUUCGUAUGAGGCUUAAAUUUAGUAACACUUGUUUUCCCUUUGGCUCCAUGAAGCCAUGCUGUCUCCAAGGAGGAAACACAACAUUACUGUCCUGACACUGAUCUUCAGCCUAGGAGCUGUGGGAUGAAGCAGUGUAGCACUCUAGUGAAAAGGACACCCCAGCCGUAUCCAGUCCAAGUGGAUUACUGGGCUUACAUAUUUUUAAAAGCUAUUUCCAUAGGGGUUGCCUGUUAACUGCUCUGUUCAGGACUUAAUGCUGGGAGACAGCUGUAAGUGAUCGGGCCUCAAAAACCCAGCACUUCUGUUUACAUGGAGCUUAAAUAGAACAGAAUGUAGAUUGUACAGCACAGAGAUCUCACAACUGGAGGAUUUAAAAGUCAUACCAAAGUGGGUUGGUUUUUUCU